Small nuclear RNA from Ornithorhynchus anatinus (platypus), 108 nucleotides. NCBI's taxonomy places the organism in Eukaryota, Metazoa, Chordata, Mammalia, Monotremata, Ornithorhynchidae. The record is from RefSeq and is a predicted model, not a curated record.
GUGCUCUGCACAUAGUAAGCGCUCAAUAAAUACUAUUGAAUGAAUGAAAGAUUAGCAUGGCCCCUGCACAAGGAUGACACGCAAAUUCGUGAAACGUUCCAUAUUUUU